Molecule: ribosomal RNA, 254 nt
Filed under: uncultured bacterium
Lineage: Bacteria
Description: partial 16S ribosomal RNA
Rfam family: Bacterial small subunit ribosomal RNA
Source: RNAcentral
CUUUCUUUGCUGGCGACCGGCGCACGGGUGAGUAACACGUAUCCAACCUGCCCUUUACUUGGGGAUAGCCUUUCGAAAGAAAGAUUAAUACCCGAUAGUAUAAUGAUUCCGCAUGGUUUCAUUAUUAAAGGAUUCCGGUAAAGGAUGGGGAUGCGUUCCAUUAGGUUGUUGGUGAGGUAACGGCUCACCAAGCCUUCGAUGGAUAGGGGUUCUGAGAGGAAGGUCCCCCACAUUGGAACUGAGACACGGUCCAA